AUGGCCUCUUCCAACUGGGGCACAGCCAUCCCGUCGGUGUCUGUCCUGCGCCACGUUCCCGGCAGCACGUGGCUGGAGAAGCGGGGCCAGGAUGGAUGGAGAGCGCUAUGGAUCAAUGAGAAACCCAAGUGGCUCAGGAGACUGGACAAGAGAACCAACAGGCUUUACACAGGCCUCCAGCUGCCCCUGGGCACUCAGGACACUGAGUGCAGGACACUGAGCUCCCUCAGUGCAGAUCUUGGUGGUACAUCUUCCCUGGACCCCCAGCAGCAGCCCCAGGACCAGAAGCAGCAGCGGCCUUGCAAAGCCCCUGGCCAGCCUCUGCAUGGCUCCUCUGCAGCCUUCAGUGUCCGGCUGGCCAGUCUGUGCCUGGUUCCCUCAGCACAGCAACAGGAGGGGGCCAGGGCCGCAGGAUGCUCGGCACCUGGGGUGAUCAUCACGGUGAGAUCACCGCCUCAAGCCUCCAUCCAGAAGCCGUCCGUCUUCCCCUUGCGCUCCUGCUGCAGCGAGGCCACCUCCGUGUCGCUGGGCUGCCUGGUCACAGGCUACUUCCCAGAGCCAGUGACUGUGACCUGGGACACAGGGUCCCUGAAUGUGAGCACCCUGAACUUCCCCACCGCCAAACUCAGCUCCGGCCUCCUGGCCAGAACCAGCCAGGUGACCGUGUCCGGCACAGGGGAGUGGGCCAGGAAGAGUUUCACCUGCAGCGUGGGCCAUGCUCCAUCGUCGACAUCCCAGGUCAACAAGACCUUCCAAGGUUGCUUGCUCUCCAACUUCACCGGCCCUGAUGUGAUGCUCUUCCACUCAUCCUGUGACCCCAGUGGGUCUCACUCCGUCAUCCAGCUCUAUUGCCUCAUUUCUGGCUACACCCCCGGUGACCUCGAUGUCACUUGGCUGAAGGACGGGAAGCCACUCUUCAAAACGGCCUCCUCCAUUGCCCCACCCACGCAGGAAGGCAAGCUGGCCUCCACCCACAGCAAGAUCAACGUCACCCAGGAAGACUGGAUGUCAGAGAGCAUCUUCACCUGCCAGGUCACCACCCACGGCUUCAGCUACCGGGCCCAUGCCCAUAAGUGCACAGAUGAUGAGCCACGAGGGAUAAGUACCUACCUGAUCCCGCCCAGCCCUCUGGACCUGUACGUCCGCACAGCGCCCAAGCUCACCUGUCUGGUGGUAGACCUGGAAAGCAAAGAGGGCGUGACAGUGGUCUGGACCCGGGACAGCCAGAAGCCAGUGACCUCAGACCCCUGGAAGGCCAACAAGCAGCUCAACGCUACAUUCAGCAUCGUCUCCACCCUGCCAGUGGACGCCAAGGACUGGAUCGAUGGCGAGACCUACCGCUGCACGGUGACACACCCUGAUCUGCCCAAGCCCAUCGUUCGGUCCAUCACCAAGGCCCCCGGCAAGCGCAUGCCCCCCGAGGUCUACGUGUUCCUGACACCUGAGGAGCAAGGGGGCCAGGACAAGCUCACCCUCACCUGCCUGAUCCAGAACUUCUUCCCYGUGGACAUCUCGGUGCAGUGGCUUCGCAACGGGCAGAUCCACAAUGACCAGCACAGCACCACAGCGCCCCUCAAGACCAACACCUCCCACCCCUCCUUCUUCAUCUUCAGCCGCCUAGAGAUAACCCUGGCAGACUGGGCSCUGAAUACCAAGUUCACCUGCCGCGUGGUCCACGAGGCACUUCCUGGCCGGAGAACCCUUGAGAAAACCGUGUUCAAGAGCCCUGGUAAAUGAAGCCACCCUGCCRGCCUCUCCCCGCAGGGCUCAUC
Non-coding RNA from Urocitellus parryii (Arctic ground squirrel), 1772 nucleotides. The record is from the annotation of a RefSeq genome assembly. Lineage: Eukaryota; Metazoa; Chordata; Mammalia; Rodentia; Sciuridae.